GCUUUGGCUCAAGGGUCUUCUGUACAGGAGUUGGGGAGGGUCAAGUCCUGUAGCACACUGUUUCUGUGCUCAAGCAGAAUUUGUGGGCUUCUGGGGGAGGGGAGGCCCCCUGAAAGCAGAGAAGGGAAACUCAGUGAUUGGUCUCCAAGUGGGAGCUGACAGUUUCUGAAUAGCUCCUGACACAAAGGACUAGGAACUUGGGCCUUUUUUGCAUUUCAAAGCCCUGCCUGCAGGCGAUCAGGUUACAGGAGGUGAAGAGGCAGUGUGGUGUCUUUACCGACAUUUUCUCCUACUUGUGCUGUGUUUUCUCCACAAAGAUCUUCUGAGAAAGAAAUCUUGAAGAGGAGGUGAAAGAAAAAAUGGCCAGUUCUCAGGGACUGCUGACAUUCGAGGAUGUGGCCAUAGAAUUCUCUCAGGAAGAGUUAAUAUACCUGAACUACAGUCAACGCGAACUAUACAGGGAUGUGAUGUUAGAGAACUACGGACACCUCCUUUUCUUAGGUCUUGUUGUGUCAAAGCCAGACCUGGUCAACUUUUUGGAACACAAGAAGGGUGUCUGGGCCGUGGAGAGAAAGGAGACAGUAGCUAUACACCCAGGUAGGUGGGAAUGAAGUGGAUGACAGAGGUGAGGUCCAGUCGUGAAGGAGGAAUUAGACCUCAGAAUGUGGUUGAGCAGCUCUCCUUGAAUGGAAAUUAGGUUGAAAAGGCCAGUUUCAGGGCUCUUCCUCUCACAUGGGACAUCUGCUUUCCAACAUACCAUGCUUUCCAUUCUCUAAGGAUUCUCCUUCAGUUUCACUGAAGGUUCUUCACAUCCACAGUGAGGUCCUCCAUAAUCUGAUUGGUUCUCCCUUUGCUUUGAGGUCUUGGGGAAAUGUCUGCCUUUCUGAGGAACUGUACGCUAAUCCAUUUCUGAGUUCUGUUUUGCUUCUUGUGUGAAGUGUGUCAGGGUAGUGGUGGGCAUCUUGGGAUUUGGUGCAGAAAUCCCAGGAAGGCUGGAGUGAGACAUUACAAGUUUUCUGGUUUAUCCUUUCAGUAUUACAGAGGCUUUAAACUUAAUCAUACAAAAUAGAGAUCCAGUGAUUUCAUCAAGUAACAAAGCAACUCACUAAAGUGAGAAAAUCUCGUCCUUUGUUUCACCUCAAAAGUUCAUUUCUUGGGUUGCCUGGUUGGCUCAGUUGGUUAAGCAUCUGGGUUGAGCUCAAGCCAUGAUCUCAGUUUGUGAGUUUGAGCCCUGCAUCAGGCUCUCUGCUGUCAGUGAAGAGCCCAUUUGGGAUCCUCUGACUCUUCCCCUCUCCCACGUGCUCUCUUUUCCUCAAAGGCAAAAUAUAAAAAAAAAAAAAAAGUUCAGGAUGCCUGCAUGGCUCAGUUGGUUAAGAAUUUGACUCUUGAUUUUGGUUUAACUCAUAUCUCAGGGUUUCUUAGUUCAAGCCUCUCAUAGGGCUCUGGGUUGACAGCAUAGAUACCAUUUGGUUUCUGUCUCCCUCUUUCCCUCCCUCCAUCCCUCUGUCUCUCUCUCUCUCUCUGCCAUCCCUUACUUGCUCUUUGCCCUUCCUUCAAAUAAAUAAAUAAAUAAAAGUUUUAAGGUUCAUUUUCUUUGUAUUAACUAAACUAAGAAAUUUCCACUCAAUG
Long non-coding RNA from Acinonyx jubatus (cheetah), 1629 nucleotides. RefSeq lists it as uncharacterized. The record is from RefSeq and is a predicted model, not a curated record. Lineage: Eukaryota; Metazoa; Chordata; Mammalia; Carnivora; Felidae. The transcript has 3 exons.